RNA transcript from Eutrema salsugineum, 1495 nucleotides. It is a transcript of the gene named serine/threonine-protein kinase 19 homolog, with no coding region annotated. The transcript is spliced from 9 exons. NCBI's taxonomy places the organism in Eukaryota, Viridiplantae, Streptophyta, Magnoliopsida, Brassicales, Brassicaceae. The record is from RefSeq and is a predicted model, not a curated record.
GAAAAAGGGAAUGAACAAAGUUACAAAUCCGGAAACAUCCGCCACCGGAGCAAAGAAGCGCCGGCGAGAGAAAGAGGAAGAACAGGUUGGUUGUAGUCACGCUGAAAAUGAAGAUGGAGGAAUAUUGUCGGAAGAUCAGUGUCUUCUUUCUCUCCAGGAUGAGCUUAACUUUAGCGACACUUCUGUGGCGCUUCGGAUGAUGCGAUCUCAGUUUCCUCGUAUUGACCAGCAGGCUUCGGUCCCGCCAUUCAUAUUACAGUCGCAAUUGUACAGUAGCGUCAACGAUAGAACCCAAGUGGAUAGAGAACUUGAGUGUUUACGAAGGGAUAAAGUUGUUCGUGUUUUCAAACUCAACACUGGACAAGAUGAUCAUGCAAUAAUCUUUUUGGAUGACUAUCUUAACCAGGUUGAUCGAAUAGUGAAGAGGAUGGAAGAGAAGAAACAGAGUGAUGUUGAGGUUUUCAAGUGGUUCAAAGGGCAUGUCCUUGAUUCAAAACUUGAACCCAGUAUUGGACAUGAUGAGCUAUGUUCGCUGUUGUCAUUGGGCGGAAAGGUCAAGGAUGCGCACAUCACUCUCUUGAUUAACGCAGGCCUUCUCACACGCCAACUAAUCGAUCCAGACAUGUACUGGUUUGCCGUUCCGAGUAUUGGUAAACUGUGGAAGGGUCUGUUGCAGGGAAGGAACGAGCUCCUCUCAUUGCUGAAGCGCAGGCGACAUAAAGAGAUGUUCUUGGCCGACCUUGAAAAGAGACGACUCCGGUUCUCUCCUCUGGAUAUGAGAUUUCACAUACGAGAUCUCAUUGGCUCUGGUCACUUGAAAACUUUUCAAACAACUUCUGGUUUAGUUGUUCGGGUUUCAAGGGACUAAACCAAAUUGCCGUCGCAGGUUUCUCAUCAGACAGGCAAUCUCAGACUCAGUUUAUUACUUUCGUAAGAAGAAAUUACUAAUUAUCCAAAGUCUGCUUAUGAGUUACUACAAGUUGCGUGAAGCGAUCAUCUCUGCUUUCAUUCUGUUGAUGAACUCUUGGGCUCUCUCGUCUAUUCCUCUCUCUGUAAGCAAUUCUUCCUCCGGCUCCCACUGUUUUGCUGGUAUCCAAUUGGCUUUUCUAAAGAGCUUAUCGACGUAUACAACAGCUUUGCGUUUCUUCUUGAACAAGCAACCUCUCUUUAGACGGAUGAGAAAAACACUGGAAUUUCUGCGAAUUGAUGCACCGUACCGGGUUUGGGGUUUGGUUUUGGAUCUCCGGAGUUUGUGGAAUUUGGCGGUUAAGCUCUUCCAGGCUCUUUUGGCUGGGAAAAGCUUAAUUCUCAGGCAAGACAUGACGCAAUCUUCUCAAGAUGAUUUUGGGAUUUGUGAGAGAGAGAGAGAGAGGCAAGCUCAAAAACUAAGUGGAUACAUAGAUAAUAAAGUAGAAAGGAGAUUAGUGAGGGUUGAUUAUAUGCAUAUACAAGUUGUCUGCAGCUUAGUUCGGACGCAAUCAAGACAAAAGUAGCC